GGGGGCCCUAUAUAUGAGUUUUUCUUUUUUGACCGCCGAUUGUCAUGUUUAAUGGAUAUUACUUGAUCUUUGGUUUGCUAUUUGAUAUACAUGCAAUAAUUUUGUACUUGAGCUAACCUUAUUUCCAUGAUAUCACACUAUUACUUGCUGAUAAGGUACGAUCUUACUCCCACUUUGCUUAUUCUUAUGCAUGAUUCAUUUUAUUAUUUAAUCAUUUCAUUGGUAUCCAUUACUUUUCUUAUCACUUGUCACACUUGCUUUACCUUAUUUAGUAGAGACCUUAUUAUAGGGCUUAGAGGAAGUAACCU
This 308-nucleotide long non-coding RNA is filed under the name Vitis vinifera (wine grape). Its description in RNAcentral is "long non-coding RNA (VVIN_LNC000817)". Lineage: Eukaryota; Viridiplantae; Streptophyta; Magnoliopsida; Vitales; Vitaceae. The record is from RNAcentral.